GGAAGUAAAAGUCGUGACAAGGUUUCCGUAGGUGAACCUGCGGAAGGAUCAUUAUUGUAUAACCGAGGUGCGAGGGCUGUCGCUGACCCGAAAGGUCGUGCACGCCCGAGUGCCCUCACACACAUCCAUCUCACCCCUAUGUGCACCACCGCGUGGGUCCCCCUUUGGCUUGUUCGGAGGGGGGCUUACGUUUUCACACAAACUUUGUAUGCAGUGUAGAAUGUAUUUUUUGUUUUUGCGAUCACGCAAUCAAUACAACUUUCAACAACGGAUCUCUUGGCUUUC
RNAcentral lists this unclassified non-coding RNA (285 nucleotides) under plant metagenome. RNAcentral describes it as "partial contains small subunit ribosomal RNA and internal transcribed spacer 1". The stretch from base 1 to 54 matches the Rfam family "Eukaryotic small subunit ribosomal RNA", at positions 1778 to 1831 of the family's 1831-position model. The record is from RNAcentral.